CACGUAUGGGGCGAGCGUUGUUCGGAAUUAUUGGGCGUAAAGGGCGCGCAGGCGGUGAUGCAAGUCUGGUGUGCAAGACCGGGGCUCAACUCCGGGACCGCACUGGAAACUGUAUGACUAGAGUCUAGGAGGGGAAGUUGGAAUUCCCGGUGUAGGGGUGAAAUCUGUAGAUAUCUGGAAGAACACCAGUGGCGAAGGCGAACUUCUGGCCAUAGACUGACGCUGAGGCGCGAAAGUGUGGGGAGCAAACAGG
RNAcentral lists this ribosomal RNA (253 nucleotides) under uncultured bacterium. RNAcentral's name for it is "partial 16S ribosomal RNA". It matches the Rfam family "Bacterial small subunit ribosomal RNA", at positions 524 to 776 of the family's 1533-position model. The record is from RNAcentral.